AGAGGCCACAAGGGCGCUGUUUUAAAUGGACUCAUUAAGGUUCAUUAAUAAUGUUGCUAGGACCCCGGCUUGCUCUUACAGGACCUUUGGCAAACUGACAAGUGGCCUUUCUUCCACACGCAUUACUGCUGCCUGUUGAAAAACGACUGCAACAAAUACUACUGCAUGGUGCCUAUUAUGAGGUCCUGUCGACCCCAGCAUCCUCCAGCCACUCACCAUGGUGCAGCGACAGCACGGCUUCCCGAGAAGAAUUCCACCCGCUGCCCGGCUCUCCUGCGCCCUCGAACAAUAAAUACUUCCUCCCCGGGGUUAAAAAUAACCUCAUGACCACUUUUGGCAGUAAUAGGUGAGGCAGACACCACCUAAGGCCCCCCCACCCCAUGCCGUUCUUCUGAAGUAAGGGUUGCUUGCUGGCUGCCAUCACCGCCCAGUGACACGUGAGACCCAAAAAUGCAUUCAAGGUUAAAGAGGCACAGCUGGGUCACAGUCAAGGGGAGAGAUGCUGUGUGCUCUCUGCCACUCGUGGGCGGGCGACACUUGUGCUUGUCAAUUUGGGGAAAGAAAAAGGAAGAGGAGAUCUCGAGCCUUCUGUGACACUAUCAGGCACGGGCAGCCCCAGGGCCUUUGCGCCUAUGGUCUGCUGUACCAGGCACACCUGUCGGGCAUCACCCUGGCUCCCUCCUUCCAUCUUUGCUUGAAUGUCACUCCCAUCUCCCUUCUCUGCUUUGUUUUCCUCCACAGCUUCUAUGGGUCCCCAGCAUCUGGUGCAACUCGCUAAUUAUUUUAUUGGGUCCCCUUCUGGUCUCCUCCAGUUCCUGCCUCCUGCCUGGUGCCCAGCUGCUGCUCAGCAACAGAUGUCUGUUGACUAAAGAAAUGGCAACUCUACGUGCUGCGACCACGUGCUUUCCCUGUGCCAGGCUCGUAGGAAAGCAUCCAACCCCCUGUGGGCUGGGGACCACCGGAUCAUCUGUGUCCCCAUUUUACAGAUGUGGAAACUGAGGCUCAGAGAGGCAAAGCGCAAGUGUAUGAAAAUAAGCCAGUACACGGCCCAGGCCGAGCUGCGCAGGAGACGCCGCGCAGGGAGGAGCUGGUCGUGCACGGUGAUGACCAAGCGGAGGUGCUCCAGCUGGGGUCCAGGCGUCGCCCUGAGCGACUAAAAAAUAAAAUAAACAAUG
Heterocephalus glaber (naked mole-rat) is the source of this 1175-nucleotide non-coding RNA. NCBI's taxonomy places the organism in Eukaryota, Metazoa, Chordata, Mammalia, Rodentia, Bathyergidae. The record is from RefSeq and is a predicted model, not a curated record.